RNAcentral lists this ribosomal RNA (542 nucleotides) under Salmonella enterica. RNAcentral's name for it is "partial 23S ribosomal RNA". The record is from RNAcentral. Lineage: Bacteria; Pseudomonadati; Pseudomonadota; Gammaproteobacteria; Enterobacterales; Enterobacteriaceae.
UGCUGGAGGUAUCAGAAGUGCGAAUGCUGACAUAAGUAACGAUAAAGCGGGUGAAAAGCCCGCUCGCCGGAAGACCAAGGGUUCCUGUCCAACGUUAAUCGGGGCAGGGUGAGUCGACCCCUAAGGCGAGGCCGAAAGGCGUAGUCGAUGGGAAACGGGUUAAUAUUCCCGUACUUGGUGUUACUGCGAAGGGGGGACGGAGAAGGCUAUGUUGGCCGGGCGACGGUUGUCCCGGUUUAAGCGUGUAGGYKKGUKUUCCAGGYAAAUCCGGAAAAUCAAGGCUGAGGCGUGAUGACGAGGCACUACGGUGCUGAAGCAACAAAUGCCCUGCUUCCAGGAAAAGCCUCUAAGCAUCAGGUAACAUCAAAUCGUACCCCAAACCGACACAGGUGGUCAGGUAGAGAAUACCAAGGCGCUUGAGAGAACUCGGGUGAAGGAACUAGGCAAAAUGGUGCCGUAACUUCGGGAGAAGGCACGCUGACAUGUAGGUGAAGUGAUUUACUCAUGGAGCUGAAGUCAGUCGAAGAUACCAGCUGGCUGCA